GAUCAGUAGCCGACCUGAGAGGGUGACCGGCCACAUUGGGACUGAGACACGGCCCAAACUCCUACGGGAGGCAGCAGUGGGGAAUAUUGCACAAUGGGGGGAACCCUGAUGCAGCAACGCCGCGUGAAGGAAGACGGUUUUCGGAUUGUAAACUUCUAUCAAUAGGGAAGAAAGAAAUGACGGUACCUAAAUAAGAAGCCCCGGCUAACUACGUGCCAGCAGCCGCGGUAAUACGUAGGGGGCAAGCGUUAUCCGGAAUUACUGGGUGUAAAGGGAGAGUAGGCGGCAAGGUAAGCGAUAUGUGAAAGCCUUAGGCUUAACCUGAGGAUUGCAUAACGAACUAUCUAGCUAGAGUACAGGAGAGGAAAGCGGAAUUCCUAGUGUAGCGGUGAAAUGCGUAGAUAUUAGGAAGAACACCAGUGGCGAAGGCGGCUUUCUGGACUGAAACUGACGCUGAGGCUCGAAAGCGUGGGGAGCGAACAGGAUUAGAUACCCUGGUAGUCCACGCUGUAAACGAUGAGUGCUAGGUGUCGGGGAGGAAUCCUCG
Molecule: ribosomal RNA, 547 nt
Filed under: uncultured bacterium
Lineage: Bacteria
Description: bacterial SSU rRNA
Rfam family: Bacterial small subunit ribosomal RNA
Source: RNAcentral